Molecule: ribosomal RNA, 253 nt
Filed under: uncultured bacterium
Lineage: Bacteria
Description: partial 16S ribosomal RNA
Rfam family: Bacterial small subunit ribosomal RNA
Source: RNAcentral
UACGUAGGGUGCGAGCGUUAAUCGGAAUUACUGGGCGUAAAGCGUGCGCAGGCGGUUGUGCAAGACCGAUGUGAAAUCCCCGGGCUUAACCUGGGAACUGCAUUUGUGACUGCAAGGCUAGAGUACGGCAGAGGGGGAUGGAAUUCCGCGUGUAGCAGUGAAAUGCGUAGAUAUGCGGAGGAACACCAAUGGCGAAGGCAAUCCCCUGGGCCUGUACUGACGCUCAUGCACGAAAGCGUGGGGAGCAAACAGG